Long non-coding RNA from Peromyscus eremicus (cactus mouse), 806 nucleotides. RefSeq lists it as uncharacterized. Lineage: Eukaryota; Metazoa; Chordata; Mammalia; Rodentia; Cricetidae. The record is from RefSeq and is a predicted model, not a curated record. The transcript has 2 exons.
UGGCACAUCCUGUAGUGAUGUGGUGCUUGGGUCUGUUCUGGGAUCUUUGUUGCACUUGAAAUUUAGCAGAGCCUGGGUGGAUGAAUUGCCAUUUUUUUUCUCACUCUUCUUUUCCAGUGUGUGAAGGACCUGCAUGGAGCAUGUGCUUUCUGAGGCUUGGAGCUGGAGGCAAAGAAGGAAUUCUGAAGGACUGUGAAUGAGGGCAGUUAAUGACUUGUCCCCAUCAACAGGUGGUAUCUUCAUCUGGGUAUCCUGGGUGCAGACAUUGCAGCAGUCAGGACUCUGUAGCAGACAGAGUGUCAGGCCUGAAGGUGUCAAUCUUCAGGCUGUCUCCAUUUCCACCACUGGAAGAGUCAAGGAAGGAGUCAGUGCCUGGUAAGUGAGAUGAUCCCCUCCUUUCAGUGCACCUCAGCACUCAGGUUCCUUCAGUAGUGGGCCAGGCAUUCCUAUGAGCUAUGCUUGAGUAGCAAUGGUACCGCCUCGGUUUACAGACACUUAGUAACUACUCAGUUGUUCCUGGUGAACAUUCCCUGUCCUGUUUUCGGAGGAGUGUUAAUCUGAGUAUUUCAUUGUUGUAAUAGAUCACGGCCCCAAAAAUUCAUAGCUAUAUUAGCCACAUAUGGUUUUAAUUUUCCUCUCUUCCCUUCUGGACAUAUACAUUCAAGCGAUCUUGUGCUUUGUUUCACUUGAGAUAAGGUUCCAAUCUCUAACAGCUGAAUGUUUACCUCCUGAAGCAGCCAAUUUGGAUGCCAAAAUUCUGGUGCAAUUAUUGUCACACGUGUCUACCAAACCAUCCAAAAAUGUCA